This 317-nucleotide long non-coding RNA is filed under the name Homo sapiens (human). RNAcentral's name for it is "HSALNT0319517". Lineage: Eukaryota; Metazoa; Chordata; Mammalia; Primates; Hominidae. The record is from RNAcentral.
GGCGACUGCGUGGCAGCACGGGCCGCUUCCUUAUCCGAAUUGAAAAGCAAGAACUACAACAAAAUGCCUCUUACCUAAAGUAGACCUUAAUAUGCAACUGAAAUUCAAUAAAGAUACAUUUUUUAAAGUCUGUUUUGUUUUUUAAUGUCCAAUUACCAAAUGGGUUAAGAGCACAUACUUGAAGCCCAGCUUUCUUGGUUAGCAUCUUGGUUCCACACUUACUGGUUAUGUGUGCAUAGGCCAGUUACUCAAUCUUUGUGUGCCUCCAUUUCCUCAGCUGUAAAGUGGGGGUAGUAGUAUCUACCUUACAGGAUUUU